RNAcentral lists this ribosomal RNA (253 nucleotides) under uncultured bacterium. RNAcentral describes it as "partial 16S ribosomal RNA". It matches the Rfam family "Bacterial small subunit ribosomal RNA", at positions 524 to 776 of the family's 1533-position model. The record is from RNAcentral.
UACGUAGGGGGCUAGCGUUGUCCGGAUUUAUUGGGCGUAAAGAGCGUGUAGGCGGCCAGGUAGGUCCGGUGUGAAAACUCGAGGCUUAACCUCGAGAUGUCAUCGGAAACCAUCUGGCUAGAGUCCGGAAGAGGAGAGUGGAAUUCCUGGUGUAGCGGUGAAAUGCGCAGAUAUCAGGAGGAACACCGAUGGCGAAGGCAGGUCUCUGGGCAUUAACUGACGCUGAGGAGCGAAAGCAUGGGGAGCGAACAGG